Molecule: RNA transcript, 3446 nt
Organism: Actinia tenebrosa (Australian red waratah sea anemone)
Lineage: Eukaryota; Metazoa; Cnidaria; Anthozoa; Actiniaria; Actiniidae
Gene name: schlafen family member 12-like
Source: RefSeq, a predicted model, not a curated record
UUAUUUUCCUGUCUUGAAAUGGAGAAGAAUGUGUUACAGAAAUCGUUUACCUUGAAUGAUAGCGACAAAGAUUUCAAGACUAAAACAUACCAAUAUGUCUGUGCUCUACUGAAUAGCGGCGGCGGUACACUGAUACUGAAAACCAAAAAGACGGCCGAUGAAAUCAUCCGUCCGAUUGAGCAGCGUUUUCAGAAUUUCAUAGCUACGUUGGGCAUCACCAAGAAACUAAGAAUUUCCAGUGAAACAUGCAACCAAAUUAUUUUUGAAGUCAAAGCACAUGACGCUUUAUGUACGAUGAAUUACAACCUCUACUUACCAACCGAUACUCAAGUGAUGCUGGUGUGUUCUCUCGAGGUUAGUACCGUGAAGGAGAUAUUAAACAUUCGCAGAAUCGUUGAUGUUACUGAAACAGAUAAAAGUGUUCCAACUACAUUUAUUUUCGGCCGGGAUAUCGGCAUAAAAGAAUCGAAGACAGUGCAAUUCAAAAAUCUUAAAUCGAAUAAGUUAGGAAGCACAGAUCUUGCCAGCCGACUUAAAAACAACAAGUUGACUCAAUACGUCUCUGCAUUCGCUAAUCAUUGCGGGGGUCGUCUGUACUGUGGUGUUCGAGAUGACGGAAUAGUCGAGGGGCAGAAAGUAAUGGACGAAGAAAAAGAAGACUUGAUUAAGAAAGUCAGUGAGUGUAUAAACGAGAUGAUAUGGCCUGAUUAUUGUGGUGAGCCACAAAGGGGAAGACAUGGGCAGUGGGAUAUCUCUUUCGAGCCUGUGACAGACGACGAAGGUAGCCCGAUCCGAUUAACAUUUGUUAUCGUGAUAUUUGUAGCUGCUUGCCAAGGAGGCGUAUUCUGUAGUGAACCAGAGAGUUACCACAUUGUUGAUGACACAGCCAAGAAAAUGACAUUUGCGGAGUGGAAAAGAAGAUKUUUUUAUCCGAUCACGGAGCGAGACACUAAGAUAGUCCCUACAGUGUCACGGAUUUGUUGGAGUUCGCCGAAAUUAAGGCUAUAUUGUGACAAACUUGAUGGAGAACUGCUGAGAGAAGUAAAUAACGGAAAAUGGGAUAAAUUUAAUCAACAUCUUGCAGAGUUGCAGAAAGGCGAUAACACGGGUGUCGAGGAGCGAUUGGUUGUCUUAUCAAAGCGGUAUUUGUUUCAUUACAGAAAGAGCCAGUACGAAGAAGCCAAAAAUUGUCUCACAGACUUUGAUGUUCUUUUAUCAAAAACAGAAAAUACCACAAUUUUCGAUAUUAGGAGAAGCCUUAUACUUUCGGCAAUGGAACGAUCUCGUGGCAAUCACAAAGAAAGUUACGAAAUUGCAAGGGAUUGUUUAUUUAAAGUCGAACAGCUUGCUCCAAGUAUUUUGACUGCAGAAUUUUACGUGCACUUUGCCACCAUGCUCACGAUCAUCGAAAGCAACAAGGACCUAAAAGACUUGCUGAAGAAGGACUUACAAAACCGUUACGAUUUCAAAUACGAAGCCCUCUUAUUCUACAAUAAAGCACUCCGACAUCUGAAAGAAGCCGAUUACGUUCCAGAAUCAAAAACUGAUAUGCAACAAAAAACUUUUAUCAACAUGGCUAUUUUGAAAUUAGGUUGUUCGCUUUCUGGUGAUGUCGUAGAUGAUUUGGUCACUGAAGAGGACAUUAAAGUAGCAAUCGAUUGCUUAAAACGAGCAAGUGAUUUGGAGAUAGAUUCCGGUUCAAUGAAUGGUUUUCGUAAAUGCCAACAUAGCUUUGCGAAAUCCAGCCUUUCCUAUCGGAGGUCUCAAGCUCAAAAAACGCUAAAGAAACGCAUUGAUAUUCUUGAUCAUGCUAUAGAUGAAGCUGAAGAAGCUGAGGAUCGUGCUAAUAAACACCAUUUUGAUGAAUUAUCACGUUAUGCUAGACAGCACGCACGAGUGUUCAACUUGUUCAAGAAUGGAACUAGAUAAACUAUAUAACACUGGAUUACAGCAGUAAUAAUAAUAAGUUCCCAGGAGGGCGAUCUUCUGUACUUCUGUGAUAGAGAUGUCCCCUUUUAAAUGAUUGACAUUUACCUCAGUGGCCCAAUGACAAUAGGUAGGAUUUGAAAAUCCAAAGCAAGUUCUACAUUCUAAAAGAUGGGGCUGAAGUCAUUACCUGGUAGGUCUUGAAUUUGCAAAAGAAAAAGAAGAGAAAAUAAAGGAAAAAAGACGUUAAAGACCUGUACCGAGUUUUUAAUUUUGGUGUUUAAUCAUUAUGUCCUAACGUUGUAGUCGGACACAGUGCCCAUCCCUGAAUUUUUGCAGGGGUACUCAAAAUUAGUUGCGUUCACAUCAGUGCCCAGCGAGGAUUGUACUCUUGAGCACCGUGCUCAGGAACCAAGUGUGAACAGGCUCCAGGUAAACCAAGCCCUCAGCAAAAAAAGCUUCUGAACAGAAUUUUCAUACGAUUAAUAACUUAUAAGGGAGAUGAAACGUGUAUCACUAUAACCAUGCUACAAAAUAUUCAGAUAUGCAAAUUAGGAGUUUUGAUACCAUAUUUGGAAAUAUGGGUUUGGUUUCAAGAUGGCCGCUUCUCUCACAUGCCAAACUCGCUGAAUUUCCGACUUUCAGAGGAGAUUUAUUAAAUCUUCCAAUCAAACAUGUGUAAUAUAUGCCUGUAAUUUAGUUUUGGGAGUUUUUGAAGCAAGAGGGCGUGAUUUACUAGAAAGAAAUUUGUCAAGAAGAAGUUUAAUAUUUCGGAGCAUCACAAAAAGAAAUGUAUGGCUGUUACAUGUUUCAACUCCUUAUGAGUUUCUGGAUUAAUGCUAACGAUUCGACCUUGAGGGAUAUUCGUUCCCUCUCCAACCACUAUUAUGAACAGAACAGAACAGAACAGACAGAACAGAACAGAAAGGAAAUCCAACCCACGUCUUCGGUAUUCUAGUCCRAUGUGUUAACCACUACACUACAAGGACCAACCACGCUUGUAAGCAGCCGGAAUAUGAAAUGUAGGGUACUCGUGAGGAGCCCAGAGCGAUUCCCGCCAAGGGUAUUUGAUAUUUUUUUUCCUAUUCUCUCUAUUUCAUUACACACACCGAACUACUACUAUACUAUGUCUAUCCUUUGCGUACAUAUUUGCGGUGUUCAACUUACCUAUAGAGAAAAAAUAUCACUCUGGGAUCCUCACGAGUACCCUACAUUUCAUAUUCCGGCUGCGUUAUCAGCGUGACUGGUCCUUGUAAUGUGUUGGUUAACACAUCAGACCAGAAUACGGAAGACGUGGGUUCGAUUCCCCCGCCAAGGGCAUUUGAUAUUUUUCUCCUAUUCUCUUAUAUACAAUCAUUAGCCAAGCUUUGAAUAAGAGUGACGUACUGUUGAGAGCAUAACGCAUGCCCAAUUUUUCUUCUCCACAUGUGUGUCAUCUCACGUUCAAGUGUGCACCACGACAUGUGCAGGAAGUAAUCACAUGACUAUUACUGGAUGGAAAAUAAAAAUAGACUCCCUUA